Molecule: ribosomal RNA, 607 nt
Filed under: uncultured bacterium
Lineage: Bacteria
Description: bacterial SSU rRNA
Rfam family: Bacterial small subunit ribosomal RNA
Source: RNAcentral
AACAGGAUUAGAUACCCGGGUAGUCCACGCCGUAAACGAUGAAUACUUGGUGUUGGAGGUAUUGACCCCUUCAGUGCCGAAGCUAACGCGUUAAGUAUUCCGCCUGGGAAGUACGGCCGCAAGGUUAAAACUCAAAGAAAUUGACGGGGGCCCGCACAAGCGGUGGAGCAUGUGGUUUAAUUCGAUGCAACGCGCAGAACCUUACCUAGAUUUGACAUGGACCGGAAGACUGGCAGAAAUGUCGUCGCUCGCAAGAGCUGGCUCACAGGUGCUGCAUGGCUGUCGUCAGCUCGUGUCGUGAGAUGUUGGGUUAAGCCCCGCAACGAGCGCAACCCCUAUGUUUAGUUGCCAGCAUUCAGUUGGGCACUCUAGACAGACUGCCGACGUUAAGUCGGAGGAAGGUGGGGAUGACGUCAAGUCCUCAUGGCCUUUAUAUCUAGGGCUACACACGUGCUACAAUGGUCGGUACAGAGGGAAGCAAGAGUGCGAACUGGAGCCAAUCCCAAAAAACCGAUCCAAGUUCGGAUCGAAGUCUGCAACUCGACUUCGUGAAGCUGGAAUCGCUAGUAAUCGUGGAUCAGAACGCCACGGUGAAUACGUUCCCGGG